GCCCAGCGUGGCUUUUUGCCGUUAUGGGCGCCGUUAUUUUUUCGAGCGGCGGCGGCGGCAACUGCCCCCAGGGGCCGCAAUGAAGGCCUCCGGGGGCCAGGUGCGGCCCGCGGGCCAGAGGUUGUCGACCUCUGUCCCAGACAUUACAAAGAAUUUAAAACAUACACCAUGCUGGAGAGCCUCCCACCCAUAGGGGAGAAACAGCUUUCGUUCCUCUGACACCUCAUUUUGUUUCCUUUUAGCCCUGUUGGAUGAGCAAGAAGGCAUCAGUCUCCAUGCCUAGUAGCUGGGCCAGGCCCGACAUUACUACUGCCAUAAAUCCUUGAGAAGUUACCACCAGAAACCAAGUCACCCAUGACAAAGACUACAGGUGCAUGAGCACCUCUAGCCAUCAUAGGUCCUAUAGCAAAGACCAUCAGGGUGGCCACUUACAAGCCACCAUACACACUUGUUAGGCAUCACUAGCUUGACGGCUUGGCUGAGGCUGCUGUUGACAGCAGGGUCUUGCAGUGCGUGCUCAAACCUAUGUCUGAAGGGCCAGCACUGCCCACCCUGUUUAGAUAGGCUUUGGUAAAUCCCAAACUACAGGAUGUGGGGAUCUUAUCUGCUGGAAACGGACAUAUCACAGGUAAGAGCCAAUGUCCCUAUCCUACAAGUUGCGUCUUAACUGCAGAAAGGAGGAUUCAGUGAUGGGUUUGCCUCCUAGGAUUACCUGAUGGCCUUGUCCUUGCAACAAGAGCAACAAAGCCAAGACAUCAACUGGGAGCAGCUGCCAGAAGGAAUCGGUGAUCUUGAGCUUGCCAAGAAACUUCAGGAAGAAGAGGACAGGCGGGCUUCUCAGUACUAUCAGGAGCAAGAGCAAGUUGCUGCUGCCGCCGCCGCUGCCACCACCACUGCCAGUCAGGUCCAGCAGCCACCGGGCCCUGCCUCUCCUUCGAUGGGGAAACCUUCAGCGGGCAGUGAACGGAAACGGAAGGAGCCGCGGGAGAAAGAGAAGAACAGCUGUGCCAUCCUAUAGCGGGAGCAGGAGGGGGCUCUUCCUGGACCCAAGCACAUCUCCUUGGCACAUGAGCAAGGAAUCGUAUGACCACCCUGUUCCCCCCAUGCCACCUGUGCCUCAUAGACCCACAAAGGAUGGCAGCCACCCUCCCCCUAAGACUGUUGGAGAUGCACAAGCGCACUUCUGGAGAGUUUUUGGUGUGGCCACCUGUGCUUCUGAAGCCUGGUGAGAAAAAGUGGGCUCCUUUCACCGGUGGCGGGCACACUGCUGGAGGUGGUGCACCUGAGGAAAGGAAGGAAUCAUGGUCUCUAUGGUGGAAGUCACCAACUGGCCGUCACACUGGGCUCUUGUGUCCCAGCCUAUCUUGGUUGCCAUAAGAGAAGCCUUUGUGUCAUGGAGGCAACCUUUGGGGGCUACCCCUAUCCCACAACAGUCCUCCUGGGCUGUAGGUUGGUGCCUCCUGAACAGUCUUUGACCAACGUCAGUCCAUAUUCUGGGCAAAAUACUGGUCCACGUGGCUAAGAAUUGGGUGUUGUGAAAAGAAACUGUUGAAGCGAAGCAAGAGAAAAUGGCAGUGAUUCUGCCAGGAGCAGGCUUGCAAACGUUUGUCCUGGCCUCUCGUGGACACACCAUGGAGAGAAAGGCCAGAGCUGUGCUGUUAUUUAUUUGACCACUCUGCCCAGGGGAAGGGACCGGAAGGGAAAGCGGAUGCGUCAUAAGCUGUGGAAUUCAACUUGUUGGAGGCUUGCCUUCUCCGUCCCCCCUGCCCCAAAGGACUUUAGACAAGUUAAAUGCAGGCGUCUUUGCUUGUAUGCCUUAUCAAGUGUACUGUAGGUAGGUACUCCGCCCCUUGCCAAUGCAGCUGCAAAGCACACCUUGGGCAGAGUGUGGAAGUUGCCCCCUGGUUCCCCAGGGUGAGCAUCGGGUGGCCCUGCAGGUCUUGCUGGAUUGAUGCCCCCAUCAGCCCCAUUCUUGGGAGAUGGUGGAGGCGAUGAUGGGGUGGCAUUGUUGGGAUGCUCUAAUCUAGCAACAUCCCUUGGACCACUCAUUGUCCGCUUCUCAUGCGUGACCCAAAUUGUCUCUGCCAGUGUGCCCCUUGGUGUACUCAACUCACUUGUGUAUUUAAAUUUUGGGGUGGGGUGGGGCUGGUAUUUUUGGGGAAAGACACAUGGCUGUAAAGACUGGUAGAUUUUUGGGUAACCAGAUUUUCUAAGUAGAUGAUACAAACAAAACAUGCUACAUAUCAUAUUUAUAGGCUUCCGACGACGGAGUAUUUGUUGAAUUUUACUGUUAACCGGGAUGGGGGCGUUAGAACUCCCAGGCUUUCCUCUCGAGAGGGACUUGGGCCUUCAUCCUUUUGAUAACUUUAUAUAUCAGAUUUGUAGAUGCUUCAGACAAAAAUGUGUGCUGUAUUUCGUAAAGCCUGGACCUGUGCAUUACAGACCAACCUCACCCUGCCCUUCCCAUGGCAAAUUACUCAAAAGUCAGUGUGAUAAUCUUGCUCUGGGGGAGCCGGGUGAUGGAGGAGUCCUAUAAAACUUGAGGGUUCAACUCUGGGGAAGGGAAGGGCUGCUCUCCUUUUCUAAGAGGGUAGUACUUGGAGCAGUUCCUCAAUCCUUUUCUAACUCUUGCAGUUUCUGAAACCUUUAUGUCGGAAGGUGCCUCAAAGUGGAUCCUUAGCUGGUGAUUUCCCUGCAAAGCGUUCCGUGGUUUAUACCUGCGGCUGGUGGGUGUGUUUGUGUGUGUGAAUGCGUUCACGUACUUGUUCCUUUUUCGAGACUGAAAGACUUGCCUUAGCCUGAAAUGCAAACUGUUCUGCCCAGCGUGUGUUAACAAACAUGAUGGCUUCAUUCAGAACUGAAUUUAGCUUGUAUCAUGUUAAAAUUUAAAUAUGUAAGGAGUAUCUCUUGCACGUCUCCAAAGUAUCUUGUUUCACAUAUGCAUAUGACCCUUACUGACUUUAGACAAUAGUGCCAUCUUGUUAUUAUUAUUAUUACUAUUAUUGUUACCCUUAACAAAGAAGCUAUCACUGACCUUUUAUCCAGGCGCUUCUUUUUUCCUUUUUGCAAAAAGGAAAAAAAAAUCACUAAGGUGUUUGUUUACAUUAAGUGUAAGUUUGUACCAUUUCCAGUAUCUUUUUCUUUUCUUCUAUGUGCUAAAACUUGGAAGAUGCAGGACAUGCACGCGCACCCGUCCUGUUCACUGUUUCAAGUCACACUGGUCGAUGGUUUGCUUAAGGAGAAAAAGGGAGGCUGGCUUGGCUCAGCUUCCUCUGGAUUCUGUCCGUUUCACAAGGGGGGAAAUGCCUCUGUGUUUCGGGUGGGUGGCUUUGUAAGGCUGUAGCAGCACAUGGCUGGGGUCCUCCCAUGUGGGGCAGGCUACAACCUGAGCAUUUCUCAGGCACAGGAGGGACUUCUCUGUCUAAAAAGUUGUUAAGGAAGAAGCAGGCUUUGAGGCUGACAAUCCAAUACUCAACUGCCAUAGCUCAGACCUUUUCCUUCCUUUUAAUACAUUGGCUGUGAAAGACCUGUAGUAGCAUCCCCUUGGUAGCUUUGGAUGGCCAGGGGAGUGGUGUGUGUCCCUGCUUUCUCCAGCCACAGAGCCUCUUCUGUGAAAGGAAGGGCAGUGGGGGGGCUUUGGCCCAGAUGAGAGACUCUGGCUUGGGAGGGCAGGAAGUAGUCUACCUCUCCUUCCUCAGGGCUCCCAUCCUGAGGGCCCACCAGCCAUUCCUGCUGAGCAAGGAGCUCCUCUGAGCUUUGGAGGAGCUACAAGACAGACAUGCUCUUGCUGGGCACUUUGUUUCUGCUCAUUCCUAGCUCUUUCUUGUGACUGCUUGAGAACAAUCCCUGAAACCCAAGUGGUAGCUUCUCUAGGAAGUCAUCAAGGGGGACAAGAGAUGCCAAGCCUUUCUUUGCUUGUCGAAGUUUCAUAGUGCAGAAUGCAGAGGAAUAGAGCAUCGGCAAGGGUCUCUCUUGCAGUUUUCCUGUGGGUUUUUUUGGGCUAUUUUCGGUCUGUUUUUUGCCCUGGUGGGGUAGCAGCCGGCACAUACAUCGCCACUUGAGCACUGCCAAAUAUUUUUAUAAUUUUAUAAAGGAAAAGCACUUGCAUAUGUUAAAAGUAUUGUUUAAAAAUAAAAUCAUGCUUGUUGUUUUAGUUGUUAGUCCUGAAUCGCAUCCUGUAGCUGUUAGAACUUACUUCCCUGGGUGUCUUUCCCGCAAUGGCUGUCUUGCCUUGGUUCUGCCUGCCUCCCAAUGGGUCAGAAGUCCAGCCUUGGGGCCAUUCCUCUCUCCCCAAUGGGGAACAACCCAUAAGGGCCAGCCUUGCGUUCACACAGGCGGUAGUUUCAAGACCCCCCAGAGCCCGGUCUGUGCGAAGGGGCCCUCCUGGGUCGCCUUCUUCUGCCCAUCUCCUUUCCAGAUUUCAAACCCUAGGCUGGCCCCAAGCUAGGCUUUACUCAACAAGCAAACUGCAUGGAUCGACACUGCGAUCGGCAACUGGUUUUCUUUGUUAGAUCUUGUCAAUGUAACUGCAGUGGUUUGAGCUUACAACUGUUUCCAUUCCCAUUUGUUUUCUGUCUAAUUUUAUAUAUGAUGUAUUUAUAAUUUUUAACAGUCCUGAGUAACUAUCUCCUGUAAUAAAUAUUGUUUCAACUUCA
Long non-coding RNA from Sceloporus undulatus (fence lizard), 4655 nucleotides. RefSeq lists it as uncharacterized. NCBI's taxonomy places the organism in Eukaryota, Metazoa, Chordata, Lepidosauria, Squamata, Phrynosomatidae. The record is from RefSeq and is a predicted model, not a curated record. The transcript has 2 exons.